This 572-nucleotide ribosomal RNA is filed under the name uncultured Mollicutes bacterium. Its description in RNAcentral is "bacterial SSU rRNA". It matches the Rfam family "Bacterial small subunit ribosomal RNA", at positions 338 to 916 of the family's 1533-position model. Lineage: Bacteria; Bacillati; Mycoplasmatota; Mollicutes. The record is from RNAcentral.
CCUACGGGAGGCAGCAGUAGGGAAUUUUCGGCAAUGGAGGAAACUCUGACCGAGCAACGCCGCGUGAAUGAAGACGUAUUUCGGUAUGUAAAAUUCUUUUAUUAGGGAAGAACGGUCUGUGGAAAAACAGAAUUGACGGUACCUAAUGAAUAAGCCCCGGCUAACUAUGUGCCAGCAGCCGCGGUAAUACAUAGGGGGCAAGCGUUAUCCGGAAUUAUUGGGCGUAAAGGGUGCGUAGGCGGCCAUUUAAGUCCUUGGUGUAAGUGCAGCGCUCAACGCUGUGAUGCUAAGGAAACUGGAUGGCUUGAGUGAGAUAGAGGCAAGUGGAAUUCCAUGUGUAGCGGUAAAAUGCGUAAAUAUAUGGAGGAACACCAGUGGCGAAGGCGGCUUGCUGGGUCUUCACUGACGCUGAGGCACGAAAGCGUGGGGAGCAAACAGGAUUAGAUACCCUGGUAGUCCACGCCGUAAACGAUGAGUACUAAGUGUUGGAGAAAUUCAGCGCUGUAGUUAACGCAAUAAGUACUCCGCCUGAGUAGUACGUACGCAAGUAUGAAACUCAAAGGAAUUGACGG